UUAACAUUAAUUUAUUGUAGGGUUGCAUAACUUGUUUAUGUCUUUAGCCUUCAGAAAUUUGACAGAAUGUUUUUUCGAGAAUAAUUUAAGAGAGGUUAGAAUUGUUCGAGAUAGAAUGUGUUAGAUAAAAGCAUUUAAAGUUAAAUAAAAGAUGAAAAAGACUCCAUAGUCUAAUUAUUUCCACUAAAGUUAAUGGUGAGAGCCUAUUCACAGCCUGGCCACGCACCUCAUCCGGUGGCAACGCCAUGCAAACCACUGACUAAAAGUAAAAUCAAGAAUUUGUUUGAAAACAACAGUAGAAUAUCCAGCAUACAAACAAUGUUUCGAUAUUACUCUGACGGAUUCUUCAAUAGUUCAAAUUGAUAUGAAAUAUACAAUAUUAUUCCGAAAUUUUCAUUAUUCUGAAAGAUAGGUAACGAAAUAUUAACGAAGAUAUCCGAAAUGUCGCAUCAUCUUUUUGUUCCUAAAGGAGACGUUGAAAAGAAUAUUUAAUUAGAAAGAUAUAAUUUUAAUAAUACGAAUCGAUCAGAGGAUGUUGUAUUCCAUUGAUUGCAAGCUAAAUAAAUACCUACGUUUUUUAUUUCAAACAAAUCCGAGAAAAAAAGAAGAUAAUAGUUACAGUUUUAUAUCCAGUAACUACUACGUACAUUUAGCAGGAGCACAACACUUAAAAAAAACUGUAAAGGACAUCAAGAGGGAUAGAAUCAGAGCGUGCAGGAAAAUGGAAGGAAUACAUUCAUAAAAAAAUGUUUAUAUGAAUACAGUAAAGACUAUAAGCAAAUUACGAGGUGUGGAUAUUAAAUAACCGGCGAAUAAGGUGGGUGAUUUAACACUGAGAUAUUGGGUUUGACUAGAAACCUCUUGAUGGAUAGUGUGAAACGAGCUGACGCAUUGUACUGAUGAUGAUGAUGAAAAAGUAAUAACAAAUCAACUUCAACAUCUUCUCGGCUAUCUUGAAACCGCUUAAAGUACUCCUAAUCGCGACAAACAUUUUUUGUCAUACACUUGUUUUAAUAAAUGAUAAGUUUCAGUUGCAGAACUAGUUGAUCUGACCUUUAACAACACAUAAGGCUCCAUACUUGUCAGAAGAAUACAAAUAGGAGCAUAUACGUGGAAUGCAAUAAAAAAGGUAGUUUAUAAUUUGGAACCUAACCUAGUUCAUAUAUCAGUAAUUAGAACUAUUUCUGCUUUUAUUAAAAAAAGAUCUUACCUUCUUUUUUAACGAAGGGAACUUAUCUAUAUCUACUUUUUUGAAGUCAAUUAAUAAUUCAAUAUUCCAGAAUUUUUGAAAUCGGCGGAAGGCUCCUUAAGACCGGCUAAAUUCCGCUAUUCAAAAAUCUCUGGAGAAAUUGAUCUUAACGCUACCACGGUCGCUAACCAAUAGAACAAUGUAACUACAUCUCCAAUCGUCAAAUUCUCAGUCGGAUAUAUCACGACUUCCGCACAUAUAAAAUUUGGAGCCAAAUUUAAAAAUUUAUAACCAAAUCCAUAACAAAAAAUUCGACAUCGAUUGACAGUCAAAAGGAAAAUAUGAAUGAAGUUAGCAGCAGACUUCUUGAGCAAAAUCGGGUCACACGUCAGGACGACAAUCCAGCCAGGUGCAACAAUAGCUCAAUUUCAAAAACAUCUGCUAACAAAUCACUCCUCAAAACAACCUUUCAACGAACUGAACAAUCAAUAUCUGCAAAAUUUACAAAAUCUGCACGAAUAACUUAAUUCGUGAACAGUUAAUUGCAACGUCUGGCAAAUUUCGAAUAAUGCUUGCUUCCUUUAGACCAAGACUUAACCUCAAAAGAAAAUAAACCAAACAUUCAAUAUAUUUAUAUAAAAAUAGUUCAACAAAAGGACAAUUUAAACUGUGCUAAAUAACUUAAAUUCCAGGAACCCAGUAUGUCACCAACAUGUACAUACAAAACUACAAAAGAGAGACAAGGAUAAUGGAUCGAAGCACAACAUCAACACACGACAAAAUUAUUCUAAACGCAUGCCUUCCUAAAAUAAAAUUAAAAAAAAAAAUUUUGUUGUUCGGAAAAAAAUUAUAUAAAUAAAUUAUUUUAAAACGUUUUGUAAGUACGGAAAAAUGAUAUUUUUGAGUCGGGGAAUAAUUAUUAGUAUAAGUUGAAAAUGUAAAUAUAAUAAAGAAUUGAUCAAA
Diorhabda carinulata is the source of this 2152-nucleotide long non-coding RNA. RefSeq lists it as uncharacterized. The record is from RefSeq and is a predicted model, not a curated record. NCBI's taxonomy places the organism in Eukaryota, Metazoa, Arthropoda, Insecta, Coleoptera, Chrysomelidae. The transcript is spliced from 4 exons.